Molecule: signal recognition particle RNA, 299 nt
Filed under: Cebus imitator (Panamanian white-faced capuchin)
Lineage: Eukaryota; Metazoa; Chordata; Mammalia; Primates; Cebidae
Description: Metazoan signal recognition particle RNA (ENSCCAG00000010471.1)
Rfam family: Metazoan signal recognition particle RNA
About the family: The signal recognition particle (SRP) is a universally conserved ribonucleoprotein. It is involved in the co-translational targeting of proteins to membranes.
Source: RNAcentral
GCCGGGUGCGGUGGUGCGUACCUGUAGUCCCAACUACUCCGGAGGCUGAGGUGGGAGGAUCGCUUGAGCCCAGGAGGUCUGGGCUGCAGUGCGCUAUGCCAAUGGGGUGUCCCCACUAAGUUCAGCAUCAAUAUGGUGACCUCCCGGGAGUGGGGGACCACCAGGUUGCCUAAGGAGGGGUAAACCGGCCCAGGUCAAAAACAGAGCAGGUCAAAACUCCCGUGCUGAUCAGUAGUGGGAUCACACCUGUAAACAGAUACUGCACACCAGCCUGGGCAACAUAGCCAGACCCCAUCUCU